This 253-nucleotide ribosomal RNA is filed under the name uncultured bacterium. RNAcentral's name for it is "partial 16S ribosomal RNA". It matches the Rfam family "Bacterial small subunit ribosomal RNA", at positions 524 to 776 of the family's 1533-position model. The record is from RNAcentral.
UACGUAGGGCGCAAGCGUUAUCCGGAAUUAUUGGGCGUAAAGAGCUCGUAGGCGGCUUGUUGCGUCGGCUGUGAAAUCCCAUGGCUCAACUGUGGGCUUGCAGCCGAUACGGGCGGGCUAGAGUGCGGAAGAGGCGAGUGGAAUUCCUGGUGUAGCGGUGAAAUGCGCAGAUAUCAGGAGGAACACCGAUUGCGAAGGCAGCUCGCUGGGACGUAACUGACGCUGAGACGCGAAAGCGUGGGGAGCAAACAGG